Molecule: transfer RNA, 71 nt
Filed under: Camelus bactrianus (Bactrian camel)
Lineage: Eukaryota; Metazoa; Chordata; Mammalia; Artiodactyla; Camelidae
Also listed under: 2 other names
Rfam family: tRNA
About the family: Transfer RNA (tRNA) molecules are approximately 80 nucleotides in length.
Source: Rfam by way of RNAcentral
GAGGGUAUAGCUCAGCAGUAGAGUGCAUGCUUAGCACGCACGAGGUCUUGGGUUCAAUCCCCAGUAUCUCA